AGAGUUUGAUCCUGGCUCAGGACGAACGCUGGCGGCGUGCCUAAUGCAUGCAAGUCGAACGCAGCAGCUUCGGCUGGCUGCGUGGCGAACGGCUGAGGAACACGUGGGUAACCUGCCCCGGAGUGGGGGAUACCCCGUCGAAAGACGGGAUAAUCCCGCAUACGCUCUACGGAGGAAAGCUCAUUCGAGCGCUCCGGGAGGGGCCUGCGGCCCAUCAGGUAGUUGGUGUGGUAACGGCGCACCAAGCCACUGACGGGUACCCGGUCUGAGAGGACGGCCGGGCAGACUGGGACUGCGACACGGCCCAGACUCCUACGGGAGGCAGCAGCAAGGAAUUUUCCCCAAUGGGCGCAAGCCUGAGGGAGCAACGCCGCGUGGAGGACGACGGCCUUCGGGUUGUAAACUCCUUUCGGGUGGGACGACUCCGACGGUACCACCAGAAGCAGCCCCGGCUAACUCUGUGCCAGCAGCCGCGGUAAGACAGAGGGGGCAAGCGUUGUCCGGAGUUACUGGGCGUAAAGGGCGCGGAGGCGGCCUGCGGCGUCGGCGCUGAAAGCGCCCCGCUUAACGGGGCGAGGCGUGCCGAUACGCGCAGGCUCGAGGCGAGCAGAGGGUGGUGGAAUUCCGGGUGGAGCGGUGAAAUGCGUAGAGAUCCGGAGGAACGCCAGUGGGGAAGCCGACCACCUGGGCUCGGCCUGACGCUGCGGCGCGACAGCGUGGGGAGCAAACCGGAUUAGAUACCCGGGUAGUCCACGCCGUAAACGAUGCCAGCUCGGCGUGUGGCGCACGGUUGUGCGCUGCGUGCCUUAGCUCACGCGAUAAGCUGGCCGCCUGGGGACUACGAGCGCAAGCUUAAAACUCAAAGGAAUUGACGGGGCCCGCACAAGCAGCGGAGCGUGUGGUUUAAUUCGACGCAACACGAGACCUUACCUGGG
This 935-nucleotide ribosomal RNA is filed under the name hot springs metagenome. RNAcentral's name for it is "bacterial SSU rRNA". It matches the Rfam family "Bacterial small subunit ribosomal RNA", at positions 8 to 979 of the family's 1533-position model. The record is from RNAcentral.